GAAAAUGAUCCCGAAAGGGAUCUGAAAAUCUCAUUAUUUAGAUGAGAGCGUGAGCAAGAUGGGAAUCUUGAUUUUU
Molecule: small nucleolar RNA, 76 nt
Organism: Caenorhabditis elegans
Lineage: Eukaryota; Metazoa; Nematoda; Chromadorea; Rhabditida; Rhabditidae
Source: Ensembl